UCAUGGCUAAAUUUGAGAGGGGUGUGCCUAACCGUCAUCUGAGCGAGUUGUUGAAUUAGCACCAGGUGUCGCAAAUCAGUAAUAAGGUCAAUCAAUCUAGGCCAUCGAUUCAUCUACAAAAGGCUUUUGCCCCCUAGUCACUGUUCAUUUCUGCUGUUAUUGUGCGGAGGUGCUGCCAGAUUAUUUUCAAAGGCUUUUCUGUGUUGAACGGCUAUUGGAAACAGC
RNAcentral lists this long non-coding RNA (225 nucleotides) under Elaeis guineensis (African oil palm). RNAcentral describes it as "long non-coding RNA (EGUI_LNC018093)". Lineage: Eukaryota; Viridiplantae; Streptophyta; Magnoliopsida; Arecales; Arecaceae. The record is from RNAcentral.